Molecule: ribosomal RNA, 1465 nt
Filed under: Prochlorococcus marinus str. MIT 0915
Lineage: Bacteria; Bacillati; Cyanobacteriota; Cyanophyceae; Synechococcales; Prochlorococcaceae
Also listed under: 2 other names
Description: bacterial SSU rRNA
Rfam family: Bacterial small subunit ribosomal RNA
Source: RNAcentral
AGAGUUUGAUCCUGGCUCAGGAUGAACGCUGGCGGCGUGCUUAACACAUGCAAGUCGAACGAACCUUCGGGUUAGUGGCGGACGGGUGAGUAACGCGUGGGAAUCUGCCCUCAGGAGGGGGAUAACGGUUGGAAACGACCGCUAAUACCCCAUAUGCCGAGAGGUGAAAUGAAUUUCGCCUGAGGAUGAGCCCGCGUCUGAUUAGCUUGUUGGUGAGGUAAUGGCUCACCAAGGCAUCGAUCAGUAGCUGGUCUGAGAGGAUGAUCAGCCACACUGGGACUGAGACACGGCCCAGACUCCUACGGGAGGCAGCAGUGGGGAAUUUUCCGCAAUGGGCGAAAGCCUGACGGAGCAACGCCGCGUGAGGGACGAAGGCCUCUGGGCUGUAAACCUCUUUUCUCAAGGAAGAAGAUAUGACGGUACUUGAGGAAUAAGCCACGGCUAAUUCCGUGCCAGCAGCCGCGGUAAUACGGGAGUGGCAAGCGUUAUCCGGAAUUAUUGGGCGUAAAGCGUCCGCAGGCGGCCUUUCAAGUCUGCUGUUAAAACGUGGAGCUUAACUCCAUCAUGGCAGUGGAAACUGAUUGGCUUGAGUAUGGUAGGGGCAGAGGGAAUUCCCGGUGUAGCGGUGAAAUGCGUAGAUAUCGGGAAGAACACCAGUGGCGAAGGCGCUCUGCUGGGCCAUUACUGACGCUCAUGGACGAAAGCCAGGGGAGCGAAAGGGAUUAGAUACCCCUGUAGUCCUGGCCGUAAACGAUGAACACUAGGUGUCGGGGGAAUCGACCCCUUCGGUGUCGUAGCUAACGCGUUAAGUGUUCCGCCUGGGGAGUACGCACGCAAGUGUGAAACUCAAAGGAAUUGACGGGGGCCCGCACAAGCGGUGGAGUAUGUGGUUUAAUUCGAUGCAACGCGAAGAACCUUACCAGGGCUUGACAUCCUGCGAACCUUUAAGAAAUUAGAGGGUGCCUUCGGGAACGCAGUGACAGGUGGUGCAUGGCUGUCGUCAGCUCGUGUCGUGAGAUGUUGGGUUAAGUCCCGCAACGAGCGCAACCCACGUUUUUAGUUGCCAGCAUUCAGUUGGGCACUCUAGAAAGACCGCCGGUGAUAAACCGGAGGAAGGUGUGGAUGACGUCAAGUCAUCAUGCCCCUUACGUCCUGGGCUACACACGUACUACAAUGCUACGGACAAAGGGCAGCAAACUCGCGAGAGCUAGCAAAUCCCAUAAACCGUGGCUCAGUUCAGAUCGUAGGCUGCAACUCGCCUACGUGAAGUAGGAAUCGCUAGUAAUCGCAGGUCAGCAUACUGCGGUGAAUACGUUCCCGGGCCUUGUACACACCGCCCGUCACACCAUGGAAGUUGGCCACGCCCGAAGUCGUUACUUUAACCCUUGUGGAGAAGGACGCCGAAGGUGGGGCUGAUGACUGGGGUGAAGUCGUAACAAGGUAGCCGUACCGGAAGGUGCGGCUG